UGGGAAACCCCAGAAAAGGGCUUAGAGAAGAACUGAACCUGCAAAAGUGAAGAUCGGCGCUUCGGACGGCGGAAUUAGGCGCCAAAAUCGAAGUGCGUUAGAAUAUUCUAGCGCUUCUCUGGUUUUUCUUUUUUCUUAAUACAUCAAAGGAAAACAUAUGUUCAUGAAAUUAUAAUCUCUUAUUCUUACAAACUUUCAGCUUUCCGAGGCUCAUUGUUUAAAGUUCCUAAACAGCUAUUUAUCUAAUUUUUAAGAUUUU
RNAcentral lists this long non-coding RNA (259 nucleotides) under Nicotiana benthamiana. RNAcentral's name for it is "long non-coding RNA (NBEN_LNC001908)". The record is from RNAcentral. Lineage: Eukaryota; Viridiplantae; Streptophyta; Magnoliopsida; Solanales; Solanaceae.